UACGUAGGCAGCGAGCGUUGUUCGGAGUUACUGGGCGUAAAGGGUGCGUAGGCGGCUGUGCAAGUCUGGCGUGAAAGCCCCGGGCUCAGCCCGGGAAGUGCGCUCGAAACUGCACGGCUCGAGUACCGGAGGGGAGAGUGGAAUUCCUGGUGUAGCGGUGAAAUGCGUAGAUAUCAGGAGGAAUACCGGUGGCGAAAGCGACUCUCUGGACGGCAACUGACGCUGAGGCACGAAAGCGUGGGGAGCAAACAGG
RNAcentral lists this ribosomal RNA (253 nucleotides) under uncultured bacterium. RNAcentral's name for it is "partial 16S ribosomal RNA". It matches the Rfam family "Bacterial small subunit ribosomal RNA", at positions 524 to 776 of the family's 1533-position model. The record is from RNAcentral.